This is an unclassified non-coding RNA of Ursus americanus (American black bear), 348 nucleotides long. Its record names the gene 7SK. It matches the Rfam family "7SK RNA". Rfam says of the family: 7SK was discovered as an abundant small nuclear RNA in the mid-70s but a possible function has only recently been suggested. Two independent studies have found that 7SK RNA binds the CDK9/cyclin T complex (known as elongation factor P-TEFb). NCBI's taxonomy places the organism in Eukaryota, Metazoa, Chordata, Mammalia, Carnivora, Ursidae. The record is from Ensembl.
GGAUGUCAGGGCAAUCUGGCUGCGGCAUCCGUCACCCCACUGAUCGCCAGGGUUCAUUCGACUGGUCUGGCUGGCUAGGCAGGUGUCCCCUUCCUCCCUUACCACUCCAUGUGUGUCCCUCGUGUGUCCCUUCAGGAGGGCCUGAAGCUGCGUGCUGGUCGAAGAGGAUGACCUUCCCCAAUAGAGAAGGGCUGUUCUUUCGUCAAGGGUAUACGAGUACCUGCACUCCCCUGUUAGAAACUCCAAACAAGUCUCUCAGGGUCCAGCUGCAGGAGGACACAGGGCAGUCAAGCCUCCAAGGCUCCAGAAACAUCCAAAUGAGGCGCUGCACGUGGCAUGAAUUUUUAU